UUAUAUUUAAUAAGUGGGAAAAAAUAAUAUUACUUAAAAUAUUACGUCUAAGUAGUCUCUCAAUUUGCCACUUCGGAACUUGAACGGUGAGACCAAGUUGACUCUCCUAUCAUGCCGACUACGUCACAAGGCUUGCCGGGGAUCCAGGUCGUCGACCCUGCCACGAUACAUAAUUUAUUAUUGUUUCUUAGAACAAUCGGAGUACGGCCGUCUUCCUGAUCAAUACCCGGAUCUUCGUCAACUACUUAUAUUAAAUAUAACAUUAUUUCGUUAUAUUACGCAAGAAUGAUAUAAUAAUUACUGUCUUCGAUUUCUUUGUCGAACGAAUUCAAUCAACAGUUUGUUUUUUAUCUAAUGUGUGACGAAAUGGUCUUAAUGGCCCACAAACCAUAAAGCAGAAGAAGGAGAAGAAGUAGAAGUUUCAAUCGGUUUAGAACAUAUUAUAUUGAAAAUUGUCAACACUUAUGUUUGUAUUUGUCAUGACGUAACUGUGAUGUAUAAAUUAAUGAAAUUAUUUUUGUUAAAAUGUAUAAGAUUUCUCAUUAU
Molecule: long non-coding RNA, 546 nt
Organism: Myzus persicae (green peach aphid)
Lineage: Eukaryota; Metazoa; Arthropoda; Insecta; Hemiptera; Aphididae
Exons: 3
Source: RefSeq, a predicted model, not a curated record